RNAcentral lists this ribosomal RNA (212 nucleotides) under Klebsiella quasipneumoniae. Its description in RNAcentral is "16S rRNA. Bacterial SSU". It matches the Rfam family "Bacterial small subunit ribosomal RNA", at positions 1 to 224 of the family's 1533-position model. The record is from RNAcentral. Lineage: Bacteria; Pseudomonadati; Pseudomonadota; Gammaproteobacteria; Enterobacterales; Enterobacteriaceae.
UUAAAUUGAAGAGUUUGAUCAUGGCUCAGAUUGAACGCUGGCGGCAGGCCUAACACAUGCAAGUCGAGCGGUAGCACAGAGAGCUUGCUCUCGGGUGACGAGCGGCGGACGGGUGAGUAAUGUCUGGGAAACUGCCUGAUGGAGGGGGAUAACUACUGGAAACGGUAGCUAAUACCGCAUAACGUCGCAAGACCAAAGUGGGGGACCUUCGG